UUAAGUUUUUUUUAAUUUAAAUUAUAACAUUUUUAUUUUGAAUAAAGAUAUAAUUUUUAUAAUAAUGUUAUAAAAUGUUUAGUACUGUAAAGGAAAUUUAAAUUUUGAAAAUAAGACUGAAGUGUACCUUUUGUAUUAGGGGCUUGUAAUAAAAUUAAAUAAUUUUGUAAUAACUCGAAAAAGAAUAAGAUUUACUUAAUUUUAAUUAGUUUGUUUAAAUAUAUAAAAUUAUAAGAUUAAAGGUAUUAAAUGUGAUUUAUGUUUUUUAUAUUUAGUUUUAUUUUUCUCUAUUUUAGGUAGUUAUUAAAUUUAUUAAAAUAUAUUAUAAAAUUUUUAGUAUUAUUUUAUUAGAGAUAAUUUUAAUAAUUUUUAUAUGUAUAUUAUUUUAUUUAUUAAGAUUUAUACUAUUUUUGUUAGCUGUUAUAAGGAUUAAUUUAAAUAAAAUUUUAUAUUAAAUAAUUAUUUAAUUUUUAUAAAUUAAUAAUUUUAAAUUAAUUAAAAAAAUUUUAUAAUUAGUAUAAUUAUAUUAUUAAAAUUUAUGAAUUCGACAAAAUUUAUUUUCAACUGUUUAUUAAAAACAUUUUUUUUAGUUUUUGUUAAAAAUAGGCUCUGCUCAAUGAUUUAAUUAAAUUGCUGGAGUAUUUUGACUCUGCUAAGGUAUUGAAAUAAGAUUUUAAUUGAGUGCUAAGAGAAUGGGUAUAUGAGAAUUAUUUUUAUUAUAUUUAAUAAUAGAAUUUCAUUUAAAAAUGAGAAAGUUUUUAUGUGAUUAUGGGACAAGAAGACCCUAUGAAUUUUAAAUUAUAGAAUAUUGUAUAUUAUUUAUAUUAUUUUAAUUUAUUUUGAUUGGGGCGAUAGAAAAAUAUUAAAAAACUUUAUUUAUGUGGUGUUUUAUAAGUAAUUAUAAAAAUACUCUAGGGAUAACAGCGUAAUUAUUGUGGAUAGUUCAAAUUGGUAUAAUAGUUUGCGACCUCGAUGUUGAAUUAAUAAACCUAAUUGUUGGAGAGAAUAAUAAAGGAGGAUUGUUCAUCCUUUAAAGUACUACGUGAUUUGAGUUUAGACCGCCGUAAGGCAGGUCAGUUUUUAUCUAUAUUAUUAUUUAAAUUAUUUUAGUACGAAAGGAUUUUUUAAUUUUAAAAUUUAGUUUUGAUAAGACACUAAAGUUAUUAAAUUGUGAAAAUAAAAAUUAAGUAUAAAAAAUA
RNAcentral lists this ribosomal RNA (1199 nucleotides) under Euseius nicholsi. RNAcentral's name for it is "16S ribosomal RNA". The stretch from base 917 to 1075 matches the Rfam family "Archaeal large subunit ribosomal RNA", at positions 2544 to 2703 of the family's 2987-position model. The record is from RNAcentral. Lineage: Eukaryota; Metazoa; Arthropoda; Arachnida; Mesostigmata; Phytoseiidae.